Molecule: ribosomal RNA, 165 nt
Filed under: Limosilactobacillus fermentum
Lineage: Bacteria; Bacillati; Bacillota; Bacilli; Lactobacillales; Lactobacillaceae
Description: Lactobacillus fermentum partial 16S ribosomal RNA
Source: RNAcentral
CGUCCGGCUUAUGGGCAGGUUACCUACGUGUUACUCACCCGUCCGCCACUCGUUGGCGACCAAAAUCAAUCAGGUGCAAGCACCAUCAAUCAAUUGGGCCAACGCGUUCGACUUGCAUGUAUUAGGCACACCGCCGGCGUUCAUCCUGAGCCAUGAUCAAACUCU